Molecule: ribosomal RNA, 402 nt
Filed under: bacterium
Lineage: Bacteria
Description: partial 16S ribosomal RNA
Rfam family: Bacterial small subunit ribosomal RNA
Source: RNAcentral
UGGGGAAUUUUGCACAAUGGGGGAAACCCUGAUGCAGCGACGCCGCGUGAUUUAGAAGGCCUUCGGGUUGUAAAAAUCUUUUCUAUGGGAAGAAAAUGACAGUACCAUAGGAAUAAGGACCGGCUAAUUACGUGCCAGCAGCCGCGGUAAUACGUAAGGUCCGAGCGUUGUCCGGAAUCAUUGGGCGUAAAGGGAACGUAGGCGGGUAAGCAAGUUAGAAGUGAAAUCCUAUAGCUCAACUAUAGUAAGCUUUUAAAACUGCUCAUCUUGAGGUAUGGAAGGGAAAGUGGAAUUCCUAGUGUAGCGGUGAAAUGCGCAGAUAUUAGGAGGAAUACCGGUGGCGAAGGCGACUUUCUGGCCAUAACCUGACGCUGAGGUACGAAAGCGUGGGUAGCAAACAGG